GUCUCAUCCUGAUCGAAGUAUCCUGCAUCACUCAAAACGCAGAUUAAAUCAUAAACACAUAUCAAGUGGUUUCAUCAUCAAAAUACGAGAUUCAACACAAACUUCUAUUUCAAAUGAGCCUACAAAUUCUGAAAAACAGGGAUCGUAAUUUCUGACCUUUUGAUACUGAACUGCCUAUAAGUCCCUGUUGGAAACUUUGAUUUAUUCAAAGUUUAUUUCAUUGGAAACUAGACUCG
This 236-nucleotide long non-coding RNA is filed under the name Musa acuminata (dwarf banana). Its description in RNAcentral is "long non-coding RNA (MACU_LNC005749)". Lineage: Eukaryota; Viridiplantae; Streptophyta; Magnoliopsida; Zingiberales; Musaceae. The record is from RNAcentral.